AGGGUUUGAUUAUGGCUCAGGAUGAACGCUGGCGGCGUGCCUAACACAUGCAAGUCGAGCGAUUCUCUUCGGAGAAGAGCGGCGGACGGGUGAGUAACGCGUGGGUAACCUGCCCUGUACACACGGAUAACAUACCGAAAGGUAUGCUAAUACGAGAUAAUAUGCUUUUAUCGCAUGGUAGAAGUAUCAAAGCUUUUGCGGUACAGGAUGGACCCGCGUCUGAUUAGCUAGUUGGUAAGGUAACGGCUUACCAAGGCGACGAUCAGUAGCCGACCUGAGAGGGUGAUCGGCCACAUUGGAACUGAGACACGGUCCAA
Molecule: ribosomal RNA, 317 nt
Filed under: uncultured bacterium
Lineage: Bacteria
Description: bacterial SSU rRNA
Rfam family: Bacterial small subunit ribosomal RNA
Source: RNAcentral